CUCUCUGGGUCAUUUAUGAUCAUCUUCCGGAAGCUUCUGCAUAUUGAGCCCACAGCGGAGAAAUCUCGGCAGCGUGGGUUUGCAUUAUGGGAUAAGCCAGCCAUCUGGCUAGAUGCUAGAUCCCGAUGUUUUUCUGCCUCAGAUAUUAGUACAGUACAAUUAAAAGUCAGCUGCCUUUCCUGGCCCCACAACCCAAAAGCUGUUGGGUAACGAGCCCUGUGCCCUCCAAAGCAGUGGAGCAUGUUUCCAGUGUGGACAGAGGUUAUCUGUGCUAGACAUUCACUGCAGGGCAGUCUGCUGAGGGAUCCCUAACAAAGCCACUUCCUAUUCAAACCGUGCUUGCGGGAGAAAAGCAGAGCUCUGAGUCCUAUGGAUUAAAGCAAAGCUGUUGCAAAGUCUGUCAGGUGACUAUUUUUAGAAGAUGCAGUAAGUGAGUAACAACUGCCAGCAGAACUCAGAGGUGAGAGUCAGAACUUCAGAAAAGCCAUAAGGCCACGAUCUCUGGAGUCU
Manis javanica (Malayan pangolin) is the source of this 510-nucleotide non-coding RNA. The record is from RefSeq and is a predicted model, not a curated record. NCBI's taxonomy places the organism in Eukaryota, Metazoa, Chordata, Mammalia, Pholidota, Manidae.